UUAAGUCUUGACGAGUAAGAGGGUCGCGACGGUGAGCGCAGAAGGGUCAGGGCGAGAGCCUGCCUGGAGCCGCCGUUGGUGCAGAUCUUGGUGGUAGUAGCAAAUACUCUAGCGAGGGCCUGGAGGACUGACGUGGAGAAGGGUUUCUUGUGAACAGCCGUUGCACAAGAGUCAGUCGACCCUGAGCCCUAGGAGAAAUCCGAUGACGAUGGGUGGCUUGACAAUACAACACUAAACAGCUCCUAUCGGGCAAAAGGGAAUCCGGUUCCUAUUCCGGAACCCGGCUGCGUAACCGCUACUUUGCGGGCACUUGCUUGCGAGCGCUCGUCGGGGUAACCCAAACUGGCCUGGAGACGCCGGCGGGGGGUCUGGAAAGAGUUUUCUUUUCUUUAUAAGCGUUCGAGUACCCUGGAAUCCUAUAGCAGGGAGAUAGGGUUUGGAACGCGAAGAGCACCGCAGUUGCGGCGGUGUCCGGACCUUCCCCCCGGACCUUGAAAAUCCAGGUGAGGGCCACGCGGAAGUCGCGCCGG
Molecule: ribosomal RNA, 530 nt
Filed under: Nycheuma sp. XHH-2010
Lineage: Eukaryota; Metazoa; Arthropoda; Insecta; Hemiptera; Delphacidae
Description: eukaryotic LSU rRNA
Rfam family: Eukaryotic large subunit ribosomal RNA
Source: RNAcentral